CCAGGUAGUUUCAGAAGCUGUAUAUAAGGCCUUGCAAACCAGUGCUCUCUACUCACUUCUCUUGUUUUACUCCCUGUAGAAAAUCAGGUUCACCACCAUCCCAACAAGAUGUUUGACAGCCUAGACACAGUUGAAAACCUGUUUUACCCAGGCCAGUCUGAUUUUCAUUGGCUCCCCUACCCUCAAAGGCGAUACUGGUGUUGCUGCUAUGACCGAUACGGAAGGCUAGUUUGGCAGGGCCCAUGCUGUUAUCCAGGCCCCUGGUGUCGCAGUUAGGAACAGCUCUGGAAGGUGAUGGCCAUGCUAAAUCCAGCUCAAACAUCCACAGCACUGCCAUGAACGAAGACAUUAAAAGCAAGAUACAGAUUCACGGCUCACCCAAAGGACAUGGCUUUAAACAGUGCUAAGCACUCAGCACCUCCCUUGUGAGGGCUCAGCACUGCUACAAGACUCCCUCCCCCAUACACCUGUUUCCUACACUUUGAUUUGUCAUUCUAGGAACCUUUAAUUUUCUGCACUGUUAAGCAUUAAGGUCCAUACAUGCUGUACUGUCACUUAAAAGGAAGAUUCUGCUUCCCUAGAGCCCACUUGCAAUCCACUGUAGACCCCUGGACACAGCCACAGUGGUGUCAAAGGGCUUUGGUGUCAACAGAGAUGGUCUUUUAUUCUUUGCUGCUAACUAGAAACUUGGUUACACAAACUGCAUCAUGGAGAAGCUGCUGAUUCUCCACCUUAUAUGGUGCUUUGCCUCGUGAUAUUUUUCAGCGAGAAAAGAAGUGAAUAGAUAGAUGGAAACAGUUUGGUAGAAAAAUCGUCAGCAGCAGCAAAGAAAGAAGUUCACCUUGUAGAAAUGGGCCAGGUGUAGAAACCCGUUUGUGACCCCUUUGGCUAACCUUGAGAAUAUUUGCUGCCUCCUCUGUAUCCCUUCUGUGUCUGUACACUCAAUUUCUUCUGUGCAUUAAACUUCCUCUGCAGCAUAA
This is a long non-coding RNA of Alligator mississippiensis (American alligator), 980 nucleotides long. RefSeq lists it as uncharacterized. The transcript is spliced from 2 exons. The record is from RefSeq and is a predicted model, not a curated record. NCBI's taxonomy places the organism in Eukaryota, Metazoa, Chordata, Crocodylia, Alligatoridae.